CAGAAUCAGCUUCAUGGGUGUAGAUGUUGCCCCCACAGGCUGUCAGCCAACACAGUUAAAUCAAUCUACGAUCUAGUGAAGGAGAUGCAUUUAAUGGACACAAAUCAUCUUUUAAAGUUGACUUCUCUGUAAUUUGUCUCAAUUUCCUUUCAUCUGUUAUGAUCCUCAUGUUCUUUUCCAGCAAAUGAAUUCUCGAUUUGCUAUCGAGGGAGAUACAAGGUGUGACACUUUUUAAUUUGCCAGACCAUCUAUCUAUUCUCAUUGGAAAUUUCAUUCUUUCUUAAAGCCAACCAAAUGAUUAUCACAUGGUGCAUGGGGCAGAACAUCACAGAAGCAUGAAUAAAUAUCCAGCACUUUGAUAAGCAUCCACCCUGUGUGCACUCUAUGUAAGUGACAAUGAUUUUGAAAUCCUGCCACCAGAUGUUGGGAAGCUCACAAAGUUGCAGAUACUCAGCAAUAGGGAUAAAGACCUGAUCUCACUGCCUAAGGAAAUCGGGGUGCUUACCCAGCUUAAAGAGCUCCACAUUCAGGGGAACCGCCUCACUGUUCUACCCCCAGAACUAGAUUCUACAUCCCACCAGAGACGCACUCAACUGCUGACCAUGAAGAGGUUCACAUGCGUAGGCUCUGUGGUGCUCAGCCUUUUGGAA
This 650-nucleotide small RNA is filed under the name Pongo abelii (Sumatran orangutan). RNAcentral describes it as "processed transcript". Lineage: Eukaryota; Metazoa; Chordata; Mammalia; Primates; Hominidae. The record is from RNAcentral.